Molecule: ribosomal RNA, 790 nt
Filed under: uncultured archaeon
Lineage: Archaea
Description: bacterial SSU rRNA
Rfam family: Archaeal small subunit ribosomal RNA
Source: RNAcentral
GAGUCAACGUAGCAAUACGUGGCACACGGCUCAGUAACACGUAGUCAACAUAACCAAAGGACGUGGAUAAACUCGGGAAACUGAGGCUAAACCGCGAUAGAUCAAGAUACCUGGAAUGGUUUUUGAUCAAAAUCUAUAUGGCCUUUGGAUUGGACUGCGUCCGAUCAGGCUGUUGGUGAGGUAAUGGCCCACCAAACCUGUAACCGGUACGGGCUCUGAGAGGAGGAGCCCGGAGAUGGGUACUGAGAAAAGGACCCAGGCCCUAUGGGGCGCAGCAGGCGCGAAACCUCUGCAAUAGGCGAAAGCCUGACAGGGUUAUUCUGAGUGACUUUCGCUAAGAAAGUCUUUUGACACCUCUAAAAAUGGUGUAGAAUAAGGGGUGGGCAAGUCUGGUGUCAGCCGCCGCGGUAAUACCAGCACCCCGAGUGGUCGGGACGAUUAUUGGGCCUAAAGCAUCCGUAGCCGGUUUUACAAGUCCUCCGUUAAAUCCAGCUGCUUAACAGAUGGGCUGCGGAGGAUACUAUAAGACUAGGAGGCAGGAGAGGCAAGCGGUACUCAGUGGGUAGGGGUAAAAUCCGUUGAUCCAUUGAAGACCACCAGUGGCGAAGGCGGCUUGCCAGAAUGCGCUCGACGGUGAGGGAUGAAAGCUGGGGGAGCAAACCGGAUUAGAUACCCGGGUAGUCCCAGCUGUAAACGAUGCAGACUCGGUGAUGGACUAGCUUUAUGCUAGUCCAGUGCCGCAGGGAAGCCGUUAAGUCUGCCGCCUGGGUAGUACGGUCGCAAGACUGAA